GGGCAUUCGGAAGGCUUGCACUCUGGGCUACAAGCAGGGAACCUGGUUUCUCCCCCAACCCCGCCCAGGGGAAAGUCCCCGGACUCGUGGCAGAAAGUGCCCUGGGUGAUUCCAGCGUCGACCAGCGCCAUACCGUCAAUGUAGCGAAGACGUUCACCUGAACCGAGCUUGGUACUCGCUGGUCGGCUUUGUCAGCGUUCAUAGUAAUGCAAGUGAGCAGUUACUGACGCUAAAACAGAACGGGGCUCAUUCUCGGAAUGCA
This is a ribozyme of Dicentrarchus labrax (European seabass), 262 nucleotides long. It matches the Rfam family "RNase MRP". Rfam says of the family: RNase MRP is an enzymatically active ribonucleoprotein with two distinct roles in eukaryotes. The record is from Ensembl. Lineage: Eukaryota; Metazoa; Chordata; Actinopteri; Moronidae.